Molecule: ribosomal RNA, 602 nt
Filed under: Microbotryum succisae
Lineage: Eukaryota; Fungi; Basidiomycota; Microbotryomycetes; Microbotryales; Microbotryaceae
Description: partial large subunit ribosomal RNA
Rfam family: Eukaryotic large subunit ribosomal RNA
Source: RNAcentral
GAGGAAAAGAAACUAACAAGGAUUCCCCUAGUAACGGCGAGUGAAGCGGGAAAAGCUCAAAUUUGUAAUCUGGCGCCUUCGGCGUCCGAGUUGUAAUCUCGAGAAGUAUUUUCCGCGCUGGACCGCACAUAAGUCUGUUGGAAUACAGCGUCAUAGUGGUGAGAACCCCGUAUGUGGUGCGGAUGCCCAGUGCUGUGUGAUAUACUUUCGAAGAGUCGAGUUGUUUGGGAAUGCAGCUCAAAUUGGGUGGUAAAUUCCAUCUAAAGCUAAAUAUUGGCGAGAGACCGAUAGCGAACAAGUACCGUGAGGGAAAGAUGAAAAGCACUUUGGAAAGAGAGUUAACAGUACGUGAAAUUGUUGGAAGGGAAACGCUUGAAGUCAGACUUGCAUUUUGGAGUUCAGCCGCAAGGUGUAUUCUUCGAUUCGCAGGCCAGCAUCAGUUUUCGGGGGUGGAAAAUCGCGGUUUGAAGGUAGCAGUCUCGGCUGUGUUAUAGCUUUCCGCUGGAUUCACUUUUGGGGACUGAGGAACGCAGUACGCUUUUUGCAAGAUUCUAGAGUCUUUCGUACUUAGGAUGCUGGUGGAAUGGCUUUAAACGACCCGU